RNA transcript from Dermacentor silvarum, 1626 nucleotides. It is a transcript of the gene named octapeptide-repeat protein T2-like, with no coding region annotated. The transcript has 4 exons. The record is from RefSeq and is a predicted model, not a curated record. NCBI's taxonomy places the organism in Eukaryota, Metazoa, Arthropoda, Arachnida, Ixodida, Ixodidae.
ACCAUAGUACUCUAGAGUCUAGUACACUGUACCAUAGAGUUUCUCACUAUAGUACCAUACUAUAGUGAGAAACUCUAUGGCGGCGGCGCCGACCACGUGCCGACUAUGCUUGGCGUUCGCCGCAAGCGUUUCCCGGGCCAGCGCCCGAGCCGAUGUGGAGCGCGUCCGUACCCUCCGGAGGCAAGCGGCGUUCCCCCCGGGCGCAUGUUAUACGGGGGCGCAUGUGCACGCGUCCAUGAACGAUGAGUGCGUUGCCGUAGACCACAGAGGCGCUGCUUUCGUUGCUCGCGGAGGCCGCUAAUGCGCCGUACGGAGUGAAUUCGACGCGUGUGAUGAAUGCGGCUGGCGUCUGCUAGUGCGAAAGGCUCUUCGGCUGGUGAUAAUGGGGCAUCUAAAUCGACUGUAGCUCGAGGGAGGCCGCGGAACACGGAGGCACAGAACGCCGAGGCCAAAGCCAGACAUGCUGAGGCAAGGCGGAGAAGGUGGCGGGAGAAUCCCGAGGUGCGGGCUCGUCAAGCUGAAGCGAAGCGGCAACGACGGGCUAUGGACCCGAAAGUUAGGGCAAGAGAAGCGGAGGCAAGGCGGCGUAGACGUGAGGAUCCGGAAAAGCGUGCUAGGGACGCUGAAGCGAAUCGGCUACGACGGGAUAUGGACCCGAAAUAUAAAGCUAGACACGCGGAGGAAAUGCGGCGUAGACGAGAGGAUCCGGAACUGCGUGCUAGGGAGGCUGAAGCGAAGCGGCAACGUCGGGCUAGGGACCCUGAACUUCGGGCAAGAGAAGUGGAGGAAAGGCGGCGUAGACGUGAUAAUCCAGAACAACGUGCUAGGGAGGCUGAAGCGAAGCGGCACCGACGGGAUAUGGACCCGGAACUUCGGGCAAGAGAAGCGGAGGAAAGGCGGCGUAGACGUGAGGAUCCGGAACAGCGUGCUAGGGAGGCUGAAGCCAAACGCCAGCGAAGGCAACGAGAACGUGAUUUCCAGGCAAUAGAGGCUGCAUUAAUGCGUCAGCAACGUGAACAACAUCCGGAUUUCAGAGUGCGGGAAGCCGAAACCAGGCGCCAACAACGGCAAGAAGUUCCAGAAAUUCGAGUCAGGGAAGCAGAAGCCAAACAACUUGGGCGACAAGCCGAUGCAGAGCAACGAGCCCAGGAGAGGUUGUGCCAACAUGAUGACCCUCCGCCUCGGGGAGCCCAUCAGUCUUGUCAGACGGAACACCACAUCACUCUAGUGUGGUGCGCAAGACCAAAUGUUUCAACUUGCAGCACUGGAGUGCAGGUGGAACUCUGGGAACAGGAGCGUUGAUGGAAGUGCACAAGAAGGAAAUGAAAGUUCCUGUACUGCCAAGGCAGUAUGAAGCAGCUCUUUAGCCGCUGUCCUGGAGCCACCCUGGACAACCUUGCCCACGACUAAACCAUCAAAGAUGCUUUGAUGAAACAUAUCCUUAGGGAUCGGGUCUCCUUUAUCAGUUCGACGUUCGACUGCCAUGCUGCUGCGAGACAUGUGAAUCGAAAAGCCUACGUCAUAAGCAGUAUUAACACAUCUGGGCUGACUUGCUCAAGGGUCACAAACCAUUCUCGUUUGCCAUUAAAGCUAAAAGUACCUGAUUACAUUAAAUUUGUGUCUGCU